AUACGUAGGGGGCGAGCGUUGUCCGGAAUGAUUGGGCGUAAAGGGCGCGUAGGCGGCCUGUUAAGUCUGGAGUGAAAGUCCUGUUUUCAAGAUGGGAAUUGCUUUGGAUACUGAUAGGCUUGAGUGCAGGAGAGGUUAUCGGAAUUCCCGGUGUAGCGGUGAAAUGCGUAGAGAUCGGGAGGAACACCAGUGGCGAAGGCGGGUAACUGGACUGCAACUGACGCUGAGGCGCGAAAGUGUGGGGAGCAAACAGGAUUAGAUACCCUGGUAGUCCACACUGUAAACGAUGAAUGCUAGGUGUAAGAGGUAUCGACCCCUUUUGUGCCGGAGUUAACACAAUAAGCAUUCCGCCUGGGGAGUACGGCCGCAAGGUUGAAACUCAAAUGAAUUGACGGGG
Molecule: ribosomal RNA, 397 nt
Filed under: uncultured bacterium
Lineage: Bacteria
Description: partial 16S ribosomal RNA
Rfam family: Bacterial small subunit ribosomal RNA
Source: RNAcentral